AUUCAGAUGACGAGUUCCAAAUAGGACGAAACUCACGUGCUGAAU
RNAcentral lists this non-coding RNA (45 nucleotides) under Schistosoma haematobium. RNAcentral also lists the same sequence under 1 other name. Lineage: Eukaryota; Metazoa; Platyhelminthes; Trematoda; Strigeidida; Schistosomatidae. The record is from RNAcentral.